AUGGCAAUCACUACCGGAGGUGCAAUGCAGGGCCCAAGGUCUAAACAGUGGACUAAAAUAAAACCAAAACCUGGAAGAAAAAAUCUUAAUCCUCCAUGGACAGACAUAUUUUAUCACGAAUUUUUAAAACAAAAUCCAUCUUGUACACUUUCAUUCAAGUACCAACAUGUCAAGACGGGUCACAGUCGUAAAAAGAAAUCUCUAUUUUUCCAUGCAUCAGCAAGACGUACAUUUGAUGGAUGCAAGGCUGUGUAUAUCUUUACAAAAAAGUCCAAACCACAGUCAACAGAUAAAAAAAUCUGUUUCAAGGUUAGGCGACAAGGUGAAGUAAAACAUCUUAAACAACAACAGAAAUGUAGACCAGCUAAAUACCUGCGAAGGGGAGCUAUUGCAAAGGCUUUAUCUGCAGGUGUCAGCAAUUACUAUUAUAAUAUGUUGACAAAGACUCCAACACAGGAAGUGCUCGCUGGCAACAUGAGUAGAAGCCUAACCAAGGAUGUUUUGAAGAAAAUAUCAUCCGAGGUGAGAAAGAGUUCAAGGCUUCACAAUGGCAUGAUGCUUGAGCUCAUGCUAACUCAAAAAAUAAUCAAACAGAGUGGCAGUCAUGCAGCAUCAAAUGGCUAUCUCCAGAGCCUACAGAUAGAUCCUUUUGCUGUUCAUCUUUACACAGAAAGCGGAAUCCAAAUAUUAACAAAGCAUUUAAAAAAGUCAGCACCCAUCACCUUGCACCUUGAUGCAACAGGCAGCGUUGUACAGAAGAUUCCUGAUCAAGAUAAGCGGGUCUUGUAUUAUGCACUGGUUUUGCCUGGCAUGGGAAAGGAUAAGCCUCCUUUGCCUGUUGCAGAGCUUAUUUCAAACAGUCAUUCAAUCCCAACCAUUUCAUACUGGCUCAUGGAAUUCAGGAGGAAGCUGUGUUAUGCUACAAAGAGGAGGAUAGCACAGAUUGAAACUGACCACAGCUGGGCUCUGAUCAACAGUGUACUUCUUUCCUUUAAUAAGGAAAAUAUUUCAGUGUACCUUGACAGAGCCUUUGAAAGUAUAUAUUCCUCAACACUCCAGAAAAUCCCUGCCUUUACUGUGGUACACAUCUGCUCUGCCCACAUCAUGAAGACAGUGGCUCAAGCUUUUGGAAAAAAAACUGCAGACAAAGGCAUUAAAGAGUAUGCAAGCUUCACAUUUGCUUGCCUUCUCAACUGCACAGCUAUGGACGAGGCUCUUGAUAUUUUUUAUCAUAUGUGUGUGGUUUUCAAGGCAGAGGAUGAUACACCUCUGGUAAAAAGCAGCAAGACUUAUUUGAAUAAGUGCAUCCUACAAACACAAGACACAAAAGUAGAAGAAAGUGAAGCACAUACAGCUGAAACUAAGUGCAGCAGGGACAGUGGUUCCAACAGUGUUGUUGGAAAGUCACCUUUUACACAAGCAUUUCAAGUCAAAUGUGAUCAGGCAGAGUGUGAUAUCCUGUCUGAGGAUGUAACUAGUGUCAAAAACCAGUUCUUCUGCUCUGGCAUCAUAGAGGUCCUCCUUGAAUCCUACAUGGGAAUCUUCCCAUUGUGGAGUGGUGUGCUGCUAGGAGAUCUUAUGAGACACAGAAAAGUCAGAAGCUGUAAAAUAGAAGCCAAAGGAAAGACAAGAGAGACUAACUGUCACGUUGAACUCUGGUUUGGCUUAGUGAAGCAUUCCAUUCUUCAAAAAAGAAAAUUCUUAAGACCGGCAGAAUUUGUUUCUAAAAUGUUUGCCUCCAUACAAGGGCGUUACUUGGAGCAUAUCAACAAACAUAAUCUGCCAUUGGACAUUCUGGAAAAAAAGGUGUCAGGUUGUACAAACACAGGGGAUGACCAGCAGGAACAGUGGGCCAAACGGGAGAGCUCAAGUCAUUCCAGGACUAAAUCUAAGUAUUUUAAUCCACCUGCCAAACUGCCAAUGCCCAAAACUAAAAAAAUCCAACACAAAAAAAUUAACAGCACAAAAGAGAACCUUGGUGACAAAGAUGCCCAGUUAACAAGGCUGUGGGGAAGAAAAGACACAGAGGUGAUUGUUGCAGUACUUCAGUUACAAACCAAGGGUCGCAACAUUGUCAUCCAUCACAGCGAGCUCUGUUCACUUCGUCCAAAUCAGUGGUUAACAGGCGAGGUCAUUGAAGGCUUGUUUCAUGUUGCUGCCCACAAGUUAAAUAUCUUAAGCAAGAUCUACAUACUGAAUCAUUACACAGCUGGGGCAAUUUUGUUUGGUGACAGAACACAACUCUCUCACUACAGUUUACCAAAGGUAAACCUUAGCAACUACCAGGCUGUUCUGUCAUUUGUGCUGGUCAACAACAAUCACUGGAAGAUGCUGUACAUUAAUGCAGCAAGAAGCAUGGUGUAUCUGGUGGAUCCAGCUCCUUCAAAAUUGGAGUUGCAGCAUUCUGAAGAUGCAGCAAAGAAAAUCCAGGAGUUUUUGAAAAUGAGGAGAACCUGUCAUGGAAAAACUGACUGGGUGGACAUAAAGUGGAAAGGUGAACUUAUGAGCCACCCCGUUCAACAGGAUGGACAUAGCUGUGGUGUGAUUGUCGUCAAGAUGGCAAAAUCAGUGAUGGAAAGCUUUCCUAAAAUACCAAGAAUGACUUUUGGGACUUCAAAAAAGGAAAUGGCAAAUGAGAGGCGAGCCCUGGGACUUGAAGUCCUGGAGGCCUCAAUCUUUGAUGAGCACACCAACUGUGCUAUGUGUGCCACUUUUAAGCCUCCAGGAUCUGGACCAGGCAUUACAAACUGGGUCCAGUGUGAUGAGUGUGAAAGAUGGUUUCAUGCUCAGUGUCUAUGUAUGAAGAAUGCAGAGUUUGAAAAGGCCAAAGGAGGAAUGUGGAACUGUGUCUUAUGCGAAUGA
Betta splendens (Siamese fighting fish) is the source of this 2862-nucleotide long non-coding RNA. Ensembl lists it as uncharacterized. The record is from Ensembl. Lineage: Eukaryota; Metazoa; Chordata; Actinopteri; Anabantiformes; Osphronemidae.